Molecule: ribosomal RNA, 253 nt
Filed under: uncultured bacterium
Lineage: Bacteria
Description: partial 16S ribosomal RNA
Rfam family: Bacterial small subunit ribosomal RNA
Source: RNAcentral
UACAGAGGGGGCGAGCGUUGUUCGGAAUUACUGGGCGUAGAGGGCGCGUAGGCGGCCUUCUAAGUCGAACGUGAAAUCCCCGGGCUCAACCCGGGAACUGCGUCCGAUACUGGGAGGCUUGAAUCCGGGAGAGGGAUGUGGAAUUCCAGGUGUAGCGGUGAAAUGCGUAGAUAUCUGGAGGAACACCGGUGGCGAAGGCGGCAUCCUGGACCGGUAUUGACGCUGAGGCGCGAAAGCCAGGGGAGCAAACGGG